RNAcentral lists this long non-coding RNA (258 nucleotides) under Brassica napus (rape). RNAcentral describes it as "long non-coding RNA (BNAP_LNC024670)". Lineage: Eukaryota; Viridiplantae; Streptophyta; Magnoliopsida; Brassicales; Brassicaceae. The record is from RNAcentral.
UUUCUGCCUUUAAUAUUUGCACCUGUUCCUAUGUUUAAAAAAAACAAAAAAUGUAAUAUAAGAACUUUGAAAAAAAAACAAUUUUGUUCGAUAUGUCAAAGAACUUUUGCCAGCAUCCAAAUUUAUUUUAAUGAAAUGUUGUGAUCCUCAUCCUUAACCUCACACUUGACUACUUACACUCUAAAAUUUAUAAUUGUAAAAAGAUCAUCAACUACAUUUAACUCAAAAACUCUUACAAAAAGUAAUUGUUCGAUCAUA